This 253-nucleotide ribosomal RNA is filed under the name uncultured bacterium. Its description in RNAcentral is "partial 16S ribosomal RNA". It matches the Rfam family "Bacterial small subunit ribosomal RNA", at positions 524 to 776 of the family's 1533-position model. The record is from RNAcentral.
UACGUAGGUGGCAAGCGUUGUCCGGAAUCACUGGGCGUAAAGCGCGCGCAGGCGGCGAUCUACGUCUGGGGUGAAAGCCCGGAGCUCAACUCCGGGACUGCCUUGGAUACGGGAUCGCUUGAGGAUUGGAGAGGCAAGGGGAAUUCCACGUGCAGCGGUGAAAUGCGUAGAUAUGUGGAGGAACACCUGUGGCGAAGGCGCCUUGCUGGCCAAUUUCUGACGCUGAGGCGCGAAAGCGUGGGGAGCAAACAGG